Molecule: ribosomal RNA, 505 nt
Filed under: uncultured bacterium
Lineage: Bacteria
Description: partial 16S ribosomal RNA
Rfam family: Bacterial small subunit ribosomal RNA
Source: RNAcentral
GACGAACGCUGGCGGCGUGCCUAAUACAUGCAAGUAGAACGCACAGUUUAUACCGUAGCUUGCUACACCAUAGACUGUGAGUUGCGAACGGGUGAGUAACGCGUAGGUAACCUGCCUGGUAGCGGGGGAUAACUAUUGGAAACGAUAGCUAAUACCGCAUAAUAUUGAUUAUUGCAUGAUAAUUGAUUGAAAGAUGCUAUUGCAUCACUACCAGAUGGACCUGCGUUGUAUUAGCUAGUAGGUGAGGUAACGGCGCACCUAGGCGACGAUACAUAGCCGACCUGAGAGGGUGAUCGGCCACACUGGGACUGAGACACGGCCCAGACUCCUACGGGAGGCAGCAGUAGGGAAUCUUCGGCAAUGGACGAAAGUCUGACCGAGCAACGCCGCGUGAGUGAAGAAGGUUUUCGGAUCGUAAAGCUCUGUUGUAAGAGAAGAACGGGUGUGAGAGUGGAAAGUUCACACUGUGACGGUAUCUUACCAGAAAGGGACGGCUAACUACGUG